This 253-nucleotide ribosomal RNA is filed under the name uncultured bacterium. Its description in RNAcentral is "partial 16S ribosomal RNA". It matches the Rfam family "Bacterial small subunit ribosomal RNA", at positions 524 to 776 of the family's 1533-position model. The record is from RNAcentral.
UACGUAGGGGGCAAGCGUUGUCCGGAUUUAUUGAGCGUAAAGAGCGUGUAGGCGGCCAUGUAGGUCCGUUGUGAAAACUCGAGGCUCAACCUCGAGACGCCGAUGGAAACCAUGUGGCUAGAGUCCGGAAGAGGAGAGUGGAAUUCCUGGUGUAGCGGUGAAAUGCGCAGAUAUCAGGAAGAACACCCGUGGCUAAGGCGGCUCUCUAGUACGGUACUGACGCUGAGACGCGAAAGCGUGGGGAGCAAACAGG